AUGGCAGCUCAGUCUUUCAAAGAUGCUCGUAGGGAUAGGACGUGCGUGCGUGCGUUCAUGAGGACUGAGUGUAUGCUCAUAGGGGCGUCCUUCCUCGGCAUCCUCGUCGCCGGGGCCGGGCAUGCGGCGCAGGAGGCCGCCGCGGGGCUCUCGCCGGCGGAGUUCCGCCUGGCCCUCCCGCGCAGCCGGGAGUUCCUCGAUAUCGACCUGCCCCGCUUCCACCGCGCCACCUCCAUCGAGCUGCGCGGCCAUUGCCUCCGCCUCACGCUGCCGCCACGCCCCGCCGGGUUCCCCGCGCUCCAGAGGCUGUCCCUCUCCGGCUGCCGCGUCGACCUCGCCGACCUGACCCCCCUCUGCCCGCGCCUGCGCGUGCUCGCCGUCGCCGAGGGCCUCCUCGACAGCAACAUCACAGUCAAAUCGGGGUCGUUGGAGGAACUGGCUGCGGCGAACCUGAGCAGAUGGACCGGCCGCAUCGACGUCGACGCUCCCAUGCUCAAGAAACUGGCGCUGUCCUUCUCCAUCGACGGCGAGCUCGGCGUGUCCAUCGUGGCACCGAUUGUGGACAAGGUCUCCUGGGAGUGCAGCUAUUCCAGGCUCACCGUCGGGCUCGAUCCUUGGAGCCUCUCAAGCGUGAGCUUACAUGCCGCCGCUGAGGUGCCCGGGGAAGACGACGGCGCACGCUUGCAGCAGCACUCCAACGUGCUGUCCCUGCACAUAACUCACCUUCGAGCAGGAGAUUGGGAAACAUCUGGUUACCUCCGGAUUCUCUGCUCUGGAGCCACUUUUCACGACAAUGGAGUGUGA
This 804-nucleotide ribosomal RNA is filed under the name Triticum aestivum (bread wheat). RNAcentral's name for it is "partial small subunit ribosomal RNA". The record is from RNAcentral. Lineage: Eukaryota; Viridiplantae; Streptophyta; Magnoliopsida; Poales; Poaceae.